RNAcentral lists this ribosomal RNA (405 nucleotides) under uncultured bacterium. RNAcentral's name for it is "partial 16S ribosomal RNA". It matches the Rfam family "Bacterial small subunit ribosomal RNA", at positions 30 to 525 of the family's 1533-position model. The record is from RNAcentral.
AUUGAACGCUGGCGGCAGGCCUAACACAUGCAAGUCGAACGAGUGGCGGACGGGUGAGUAAUGUCUGGGAAACUGCCUGAUGGAGGGUGAUAACUACUGGAAACGGUAGCUAAUACCGCAUACCAUCGGAUUUGCCCAGAUGGGAUUAGCUAGUAGGUGGGGUAACGGCUCACCUAGGCGACGAUCCCUAGCUGGGCUGAGAGGAUGAACAGCCACACUGGAACUAAUACACGGUCCAGACGCGUACGGGAGGGAGCAGUGGGGAAUAUUGCACAAUGGGCGCAAGCCUGAUGCAGCCAUGCCGAGUGUGUGAAGAAGGUCUUCGGGUUGUAAAGCACUUUCAGCGGUGAGGCGUUACCCGCAGAAGAAGCACCGGCUAACUCCGUGCCAGCAGCCGCGGUAAUA